RNAcentral lists this ribosomal RNA (433 nucleotides) under uncultured bacterium. RNAcentral describes it as "partial 16S ribosomal RNA". It matches the Rfam family "Bacterial small subunit ribosomal RNA", at positions 29 to 507 of the family's 1533-position model. The record is from RNAcentral.
AACGAACGCUGGCGGCAUGCCUAACACAUGCAAGUCGAACUAGACCUUCGGGUCUAGUGGCGCACGGGUGCGUAACGCGUGGGAACCUGCCCUUAGGUUCGGAAUAACUCCCCGAAAGGGGUGCUAAUACCGGUUAAUGUCUUCGGACCAAAGAUUUAUCGCCUUUGGAUGGGCCCGCGUUGGAUUCGCUAGUUGGUAGGGUACAAGCCUACCAAGGCGACGAUCCAUAGCUGGUCUGAGAGGAUGAUCAGCCACACUGGGACUGAGACACGGCCCAGACUCCUACGGGAGGCAGCAGUGGGGAAUAUUGGACAAUGGGCGAAAGCCUGAUCCAGCAAUGCCGCGUGAGUGAUGAAGGCCUUAGGGUUGUAAAGCUCUUUUACCCGGGAUGAUAAUGACAGUACCGGGAGAAUAAGCUCCGGCUAACUCCGUG